This 85-nucleotide non-coding RNA is filed under the name Thalassionema frauenfeldii. Lineage: Eukaryota; Bacillariophyta; Fragilariophyceae; Thalassionematales; Thalassionemataceae. The record is from RNAcentral.
AAAAACAACAACAAAAAAGAAGAAUAAAAAAGAACGAGUUUUUUUUUUUUUUUUGGUUGGGGUAAAAAGUUUUAAUUUUUUUUUU